GAAGAAGGCUGGCGGCUUUCUUCACACAUUCACUUCGAACGUUUAAGGGGUCUGCUUUUGUGUUCCCUGGAUGAGUGGCGAACAGGUGAGUAACACGUGAGUAACCUGCCCCCUUCUUCUGGAUAACCGCAUGAAAGUGUGGCUAAUACGGGAUAUUCUGGGUCUGUCGCAUGAUGGGUCUGGGAAAGAUUGCGCCUUUGGGUGUUUUUGGUGGGGGAUGGGCUCGCGGCCUAUCAGCUUGUUGGUGGGGUUCUUGCCUACCAAGGCGGUGACGGGUAGCCGCAAUGCGAGUGUGGACGGUCAAACUGGGACUGAGACACGGCCCAGAAUCCUACGGGAGGCAGCAGUGGGGAAUAUUGCACAAUGGGCGCAAGCCUGAUGCAGCGACGCCGCGUGAGGGAUGGAGGCCUUCGGGUGGGAAAAAGAUUUAGCCAGUGAAGCAGGCCUGAUAAUUGUGGGUGGGUUGAAGGUAGCUGGAUAAGAAGCGAAGGAUAAAGACGGG
RNAcentral lists this ribosomal RNA (502 nucleotides) under uncultured bacterium. RNAcentral's name for it is "partial 16S ribosomal RNA". It matches the Rfam family "Bacterial small subunit ribosomal RNA", at positions 31 to 507 of the family's 1533-position model. The record is from RNAcentral.